RNAcentral lists this ribosomal RNA (467 nucleotides) under uncultured bacterium. Its description in RNAcentral is "partial 16S ribosomal RNA". It matches the Rfam family "Bacterial small subunit ribosomal RNA", at positions 29 to 507 of the family's 1533-position model. The record is from RNAcentral.
ACGAACGCUGGCGGCGUGCUUAGCACAUGCCAGUCGCACGGAAAGGCCCUGCUUUUGUGGGGUGCUCGAGUGGCGAACGGGUGAGUAACACGUGAGUAACCUGCCCUUGACUUUGGGAUAACUUCAGGAAACUGGGGCUAAUACCGGAUAGGAGCUCCUGCUGCAUGGUGGGGGUUGGAAAGUUUCGGCGGUUGGGGAUGGACUCGCGGCUUAUCAGCUUGUUGGUGGGGUAGUGGCUUACCAAGGCUUUGACGGGUAGCCGGCCUGAGAGGGUGACCGGCCACAUUGGGACUGAGAUACGGCCCAGACUCCUACGGGAGGCAGCAGUGGGGAAUAUUGCACAAUGGGCGGAAGCCUGAUGCAGCAACGCCGCGUGCGGGAUGACGGCCUUCGGGUUGUAAACCGCUUUCGCCUGUGACGAAGCGUGAGUGACGGUAAUGGGUAAAGAAGCACCGGCUAACUACGUG